AUGAAACAUGUACACAGCGAUAUAAUUAAGUUGGAUUGUGUUAAAAAAAAUCAAAAGAGCAAAAUAUUAUACAAAGUGACAUAUAUAUUUCAAGCAGAAUAUAUUGAAACCAAAAAAAAAAGGAUAUACAAUUGUAAAAUAGGAGCACAUUCAUUAAAGAAAACACAAUCAAACACAAUCAGUUUGCAAAUAGCAAAAGCCUAUACUUAG
Molecule: non-coding RNA, 210 nt
Organism: Vicia faba (fava bean)
Lineage: Eukaryota; Viridiplantae; Streptophyta; Magnoliopsida; Fabales; Fabaceae
Source: the annotation of a GenBank genome assembly